Long non-coding RNA from Vigna unguiculata (cowpea), 485 nucleotides. RefSeq lists it as uncharacterized. The record is from RefSeq and is a predicted model, not a curated record. Lineage: Eukaryota; Viridiplantae; Streptophyta; Magnoliopsida; Fabales; Fabaceae.
UUCUUUCUCACGACCAACUUCUUCCUCACCAUACCACACCACACUACACUGUCAUCUUCCUCCUUAUCACACCACAUUGUCGUCUUCGUCUUUGUCUUCUUUUUCACUGCCGGAUUCCUCCUCACUUUAAUCAUUGUCACACUUUAUCUUCCCCUUUCUCACUAGUUCCACCCUUUUACCAUCGUUGGGCUUAUGUUUGGCGGAAGUGGAGGAGAAAGGGAUUUACUAUGACACUGGAGAGGAGAAAUGGGUUUGGGGGUGCUAUGAAUGGGAUUUGAAAACCCAAGGUUCAAGCUCCAAUCGUUUCUCAAAGAGUUGUGGUUCUUUCGAGAAGAGGACAUUUGAAGAAAAAUGGAGCAAUUCAUGAAGCAAGACAUUAAAUGCAUAUGCCAACAAGAUGACCAUGAGUAGAUGACCAUGUCAGGCUCUUUUGAUUAAUAAUGAAGAUGAUAAAUCACAUGAAGACUAGUUAUGUUAAACUUGUA